GAUGAACGCUGGCGGCGUGCUUAACACAUGCAAGUCGAACGAAGCACUUUAUUUGAUUUCCUUCGGGACUGAUUAUUUUGUGACUGAGUGGCGGACGGGUGAGUAACGCGUGGGUAACCUGCCUUGUACAGGGGGAUAACAGUUGGAAACGGCUGCUAAUACCGCAUAAGCGCACAGCAUCGCAUGAUGCAGUGUGAAAAACUCCGGUGGUAUAAGAUGGACCCGCGUUGGAUUAGCUAGUUGGUGAGGUAACGGCCCACCAAGGCGACGAUCCAUAGCCGACCGGAGAGGGUGACCGGCCACAUUGGGACUGAGACACGGCCCAAACUCCUACGGGAGGCAGCAGUGGGGAAUAUUGCACAAUGGGCGAAAGCCUGAUGCAGCGACGCCGCGUGAGCGAAGAAGUAUUUCGGUAUGUAAAGCUCUAUCAGCAGGGAAGAUAAUGACGGUACCUGACUAAGAAGCACCGGCUAAAUACGUG
RNAcentral lists this ribosomal RNA (481 nucleotides) under uncultured bacterium. RNAcentral describes it as "partial 16S ribosomal RNA". It matches the Rfam family "Bacterial small subunit ribosomal RNA", at positions 28 to 507 of the family's 1533-position model. The record is from RNAcentral.